UACGAAGGGGGCUAGCGUUGCUCGGAAUCACUGGGCGUAAAGGGCGCGUAGGCGGCCAUUCAAGUCAGGGGUGAAAGCCUGUGGCUCAACCACAGAAUUGCCUUUGAUACUGUUUGGCUAGAGACCGGAAGAGGUAAGUGGAACUGCGAGUGUAGAGGUGAAAUGCGUAGAUAUCGGGAGGAACACCAGUGGCGAAGGCGGGUCUCUGGGCCGAUACUGACGCUGAGGAGCGAAAGCGUGGGGAGCGAACAGG
This 253-nucleotide ribosomal RNA is filed under the name uncultured bacterium. RNAcentral describes it as "partial 16S ribosomal RNA". It matches the Rfam family "Bacterial small subunit ribosomal RNA", at positions 524 to 776 of the family's 1533-position model. The record is from RNAcentral.